RNAcentral lists this ribosomal RNA (698 nucleotides) under uncultured archaeon. RNAcentral describes it as "bacterial SSU rRNA". It matches the Rfam family "Archaeal small subunit ribosomal RNA", at positions 102 to 800 of the family's 1478-position model. The record is from RNAcentral.
GGAUAACCUACCCUUAGGACCGGGAUAACCCUGGGAAACUGGGGAUAAUACUGGAUAGGCAAUUUUUCCUGUAAUGGUUUUUUGUUUAAAUGUUUUUUCGCCUAAGGAUGGGUCUGCGGCCGAUUAGGUAGUUGGUUAGGUAAUGGCUUACCAAGCCGUUGAUCGGUACGGGUUGUGAGAGCAAGAGCCCGGAGAUGGAACCUGAGACAAGGUUCCAGGCCCUACGGGGUGCAGCAGGCGCGAAACCUCCGCAAUGUGAGAAAUCGCGACGGGGGGAUCCCAAGUGCCAUUCUUAACGGGAUGGCUUUUCAUUAGUGUAAAGAGCUUUUGGAAUAAGAGCUGGGCAAGACCGGUGCCAGCCGCCGCGGUAACACCGGCAGCUCUAGUGGUAGCAAUUUUUAUUGGGCCUAAAGCGUCCGUAGCCGGUUUAAUAAGUCUCUGGUGAAAUCCUGCAGCUUAACUGUGGGAAUUGCUGGAGAUACUAUUAGACUUGAGACCGGGAGAGGUUAGAGGUACUCCCAGGGUAGAGGUGAAAUUCUGUAAUCCUGGGAGGACCGCCUGUUGCGAAGGCGUCUAGCUGGAACGGUUCUGACGGUGAGGGACGAAAGUUAGGGGCGCGAACCGGAUUAGAUACCCGGGUAGUCCUAACUGUAAACGAUGCGGACUUGGUGUUGGGGUGGCUUUGAGCUGCUUCAGUG